This 164-nucleotide ribosomal RNA is filed under the name Aconitum tanguticum. RNAcentral describes it as "5.8S ribosomal RNA". It matches the Rfam family "5.8S ribosomal RNA". Rfam says of the family: 5.8S ribosomal RNA (5.8S rRNA) is a component of the large subunit of the eukaryotic ribosome. The record is from RNAcentral. Lineage: Eukaryota; Viridiplantae; Streptophyta; Magnoliopsida; Ranunculales; Ranunculaceae.
UCAAACGACUCUCGGCAACGGAUAUCUCGGCUCUUGCAUCGAUGAAGAACGUAGCGUAAUGCGAUACUUGGUGUGAAUUGCAGAAUCCCGUGAACCAUCGAGUCUUUGAACGCAAGUUGCGCCCGAGGCCAUUAGGUUGAGGGCACGUCUGCCUGGGCGUCACA